Molecule: microRNA precursor, 83 nt
Filed under: Mus musculus (house mouse)
Lineage: Eukaryota; Metazoa; Chordata; Mammalia; Rodentia; Muridae
Description: predicted gene, 55449 (ENSMUSG00002075196.1)
Source: RNAcentral
GGCAUGGAGUCCUGUGGUAUCCAUGAGACCACCUCAACUCCAUCAUGAAGUGUGAUGUGGAUAUCUGCAAAGACCUGUAUGCC